UACGGAGGGGGCUAGCGUUGUUCGGAAUCACUGGGCGUAAAGAGCACGUAGGCGGAUUAUUAAGUCGGGGGUGAAAGCCCGGGGCUCAACCCUGGAAUUGCCGUCGAUACUGGUAAUCUUGAGUCCGGGAGAGGUGAGUGGAAUUCCUAGUGUAGAGGUGAAAUGCGUAGAUAUCAGGAGGAACACCAGUGGCGAAGGCGGGUCGCUGGGCCGCUACUGACGCUGAGGAGCGAAAGCGUGGGGAGCGAACAGG
This 253-nucleotide ribosomal RNA is filed under the name uncultured bacterium. RNAcentral describes it as "partial 16S ribosomal RNA". It matches the Rfam family "Bacterial small subunit ribosomal RNA", at positions 524 to 776 of the family's 1533-position model. The record is from RNAcentral.